Molecule: ribosomal RNA, 1265 nt
Filed under: metagenome
Description: bacterial LSU rRNA
Rfam family: Bacterial large subunit ribosomal RNA
Source: RNAcentral
GUACCAUAACCGACACAGGUGGGUAGGUAGAGUAUACUAAGGGGCGCGAGAUAACUCUCUCUAAGGAACUCGGCAAAAUGACUCCGUAACUUCGGGAGAAGGAGUGCCUUAUUUAUAAGGUUGCAAUAACAAGAUCCAAGCAACUGUUUAUCAAAAACACAGGUCUCCGCUAAGUCGUAAGACGAUGUAUGGGGGCUGACGCCUGCCCAGUGCCAGAAGGUUAAAGAAGUUGGUUAGUGUAUGCGAAGCUGAUGACUGAAGCCCUGGUGAACGGCGGCCGUAACGAUAACGGUCCUAAGGUAGCGAAAUUCCUUGUCGGGUAAGUUCCGACCCGCACGAAAGGCGUAAUGAUUUGGAUACUGUCUCGGAGAGAGGCUCGGUGAAAUAGACUUGUCUGUGAAGAUGCGGACUACCUGCACCAGGACAGAAAGACCCUAUGAAGCUUUACUGUAACUUGAAAUUGGAAUUGGACUUUGCUUGCGCAGUAUAGGUGGGAAGCGUUGAAGAUAUUCUUGCGGGAGUAUUGGAGCUAUCAGUGAGAUACCACUCUUGUAAUGUUAGAUUUCUAACUUUGAACCAUAAUCUGGUCAAAGAACAGUUUCAGGUGGGCAGUUUGACUGGGGCGGUCGCCUCCCAAAUGGUAACGGAGGCGUACAAAGGUUUCCUCUGAACGGAUAGAAAUCGUAUCUAGAGUGUAAAGGCAUAAGGAAGCUUGACUGUGAGACCUACAAGUCGAGCAGGGACGAAAGUCGGUCUUAGUGAUCUGACGGUACUGAGUGGAAAGGCCGUCACUCAACGGAUAAAAGUUACUCUAAGGAUAACAGGCUGAUCUCCCCCAAGAGUUCACAUCGACGGGGAGGUUUGGCACCUCGAUGUCGGCUCAUCGCAUCCUGGGGCGGUAGUACGUCCCAAGGGUUGGGCUGUUCGCCCAUGAAAGCGGUACGCGAGCUGGGUUCAGAACGUCGUGAGACAGUUCGGUCCAUAUCCGGUGUAGGCGUUAGAAUAUUGAGAGGAGCCUUCUUUAGUACGAGAGGACCGAGAAGGACACACCGCUGGUGUACCAGUUAUCGUGCCAACGGUAAACGCUGGGUAGCUAUGUGUGGAGUGGAUAACCGCUGAAAGCAUCUAAGUGGGAAGCCCACCUCAAGAUGAGUAUUCUCAUCACUAUAAGUGAGUAAGGUCACGGUAAGACUAACCGUUUGAUAGGCAUUAAGUGUAAAUGUAGUAAUGCAUGUGCUGAGAUGUCCUAACAGACCGAGGACUUC